UCCUGCCCAGUGAGUAAUUUCAACGGCCGCGGUACCCUGACCGUGCUAAGGUAGCAUAAUAACUUGCCUUCUAAUUAGAGGCUAGCAUGAAUGGACAAACGAAAGCCUAACUGUUUCUUAAGGCCCCCUAAAACUUUAUCUUUAGGUGAAAAAGCCUAAAUACCCCUAAAAGACAAGAAGACCCUGCAGAGCUUAAUAAAGCUAUAUUCAAUUAAUAAAACCAAUAUUUUGUUGGGGCGACAAAGGAAUAAACAAAACUUCCUUAAAACCUAAGGGGGACACCCCGCGUAAAAGAUCCUCCCCCGAUCAAAGGCCAAAGCUACCUCAGGGAUAACAGGCUUAUCUUUCUCGAGAGCUCCUAUCGACAGAAAGCCUUGGCACCUCGAUGUUGGCUUAGAAUUCCCGAAGAUGCAGCAAUCUUCAUUGGUAGGUUUGUUCAACCUUUAAAAUUCUACGUGAUCU
RNAcentral lists this ribosomal RNA (462 nucleotides) under Piromis sp. KJO-2011. RNAcentral describes it as "partial 16S ribosomal RNA". It matches the Rfam family "Archaeal large subunit ribosomal RNA", at positions 1949 to 2675 of the family's 2987-position model. Lineage: Eukaryota; Metazoa; Annelida; Polychaeta; Terebellida; Flabelligeridae. The record is from RNAcentral.